RNAcentral lists this transfer RNA (72 nucleotides) under Loxodonta africana (African savanna elephant). It matches the Rfam family "tRNA". From Rfam's summary of the family: Transfer RNA (tRNA) molecules are approximately 80 nucleotides in length. Lineage: Eukaryota; Metazoa; Chordata; Mammalia; Proboscidea; Elephantidae. The record is from Rfam by way of RNAcentral.
GCCCUGGUGGCACAGUGGUUAAAGUACUCAGCUGCUAACUGAAAGGUUGGUGGUUCAAACCCACCAGUGGCA